GAUCAUGUUCGCAGUUUCAC
RNAcentral lists this small nuclear RNA (20 nucleotides) under Arabidopsis thaliana (thale cress). Its description in RNAcentral is "snRNA_17280". The record is from RNAcentral. Lineage: Eukaryota; Viridiplantae; Streptophyta; Magnoliopsida; Brassicales; Brassicaceae.